UGUCCAGACUCCUACGGGAGGCAGCAGUCGGGAGUAUUGCGCAAUGGAGGAAACUCUGACGCAGUGACGCCGCGUGCAGGAAGAAGGUUUUCGGAUUGUAAACUGCUUUAGACAGGGAAGAUACAAGACAGUACCUGUAAAAUAAGCUCCGGCUAACUACGUGCCAGCAGCCGCGGUAAUACGUAGGGAGCAAGCGUUAUCCGGAUUUAUUGGGUGUAAAGGGUGCGUAGACGGGAAGGCAAGUUGGUUGUGAAAUCCCUCGGCUUAACUGAGGAACUGCAACCAAAACUAUCUUUCUUGAGUGCUGGAGAGGAAAGGGGAAUUCCUAGUGUAGCGGUGAAAUGCGUAGAUAUUAGGAGGAACACCAGUGGCGAAGGCGACUUACUGGACUGUAACUGACGUUGAGGCUCAAAAGCGUGGGGAGCAAACAGGAUUAGAUACCCCGGUAA
This 449-nucleotide ribosomal RNA is filed under the name uncultured bacterium. RNAcentral's name for it is "partial 16S ribosomal RNA". It matches the Rfam family "Bacterial small subunit ribosomal RNA", at positions 328 to 793 of the family's 1533-position model. The record is from RNAcentral.